UACGGGGGGGGCAAGCGUUGUUCGGAAUUACUGGGCGUAAAGGGCUCGUAGGCGGCCAACUAAGUCAAACGUGAAAUCCCUCGGCUUAACCGGGGAACUGCGUCUGAUACUGGAUGGCUUGAGUUUGGGAGAGGGAUGCGGAAUUCCAGGUGUAGCGGUGAAAUGCGUAGAUAUCUGGAGGAACACCUGUGGCGAAGGCGGCCCCCUGGUUGGAUACUGACGCUGAGACGCGAAAGCGUGGGGAGCAAACAGG
Molecule: ribosomal RNA, 253 nt
Filed under: uncultured bacterium
Lineage: Bacteria
Description: partial 16S ribosomal RNA
Rfam family: Bacterial small subunit ribosomal RNA
Source: RNAcentral